RNAcentral lists this ribosomal RNA (478 nucleotides) under uncultured bacterium. RNAcentral describes it as "partial 16S ribosomal RNA". It matches the Rfam family "Bacterial small subunit ribosomal RNA", at positions 28 to 523 of the family's 1533-position model. The record is from RNAcentral.
GACGAACGCUGGCGGCGUGCUUAACACAUGCAAGUCGAACGGUAAGGCCCUUCGGGGUACACGAGUGGCGAACGGGUGAGUAACACGUGGGUGAUCUGCCCUGCACUUCGGGAUAAGCCUGGGAAACGGGGUAUAAUACCGGAUAGGACUCCGGACUGCAUGGCCUGGGGGGGAAAGCUUUUGCGGGGUGGGAUGGGCCGGCGGCGUAUCAGGUCGUUGGUGGGGUGAUGGCCUCCCGAGGCGACGACGGGUAGCCGGCCUGAGAGGGUGACCGGCCACACUGGGACUGAGAUACGGCCCAGACUCCUACGGGAGGCAGCAGUGGGGAAUAUUGCACAAUGGGCGCAAGCCUGAUGCAGCGACGCCGCGUGAGGGAUGACGGCCUUCGGGUUGUAAACCUCUUUCAGCAUCGACGAAGCGAAAGUGACGGUAGGUGCAGAAGAAGGACCGGCCAACUACGUGCCAGCCGCCGCCGUAA